RNAcentral lists this non-coding RNA (30 nucleotides) under Rattus norvegicus (Norway rat). The record is from RNAcentral. Lineage: Eukaryota; Metazoa; Chordata; Mammalia; Rodentia; Muridae.
UAGGAGGAAGAUGAGCUAUUUUAGGCAAAA